RNAcentral lists this ribosomal RNA (427 nucleotides) under uncultured bacterium. Its description in RNAcentral is "partial 16S ribosomal RNA". It matches the Rfam family "Bacterial small subunit ribosomal RNA", at positions 354 to 796 of the family's 1533-position model. The record is from RNAcentral.
GUGGGGAAUAUUGGGCAAUGGAGGAAACUCUGACCCAGCAACGCCGCGUGGAGGAAGAAGGUUUUCGGAUCGUAAACUCCUGUCCUUGGAGACGAGUAGAAGACGGUAUCCAAGGAGGAAGCCCCGGCUAACUACGUGCCAGCAGCCGCGGUAAUACGUAGGGGGCAAGCGUUGUCCGGAAUAAUUGGGCGUAAAGGGCGCGUAGGCGGCUCGGUAAGUCUGGAGUGAAAGUCCUGCUUUUAAGGUGGGAAUUGCUUUGGAUACUGUCGGGCUUGAGUGCAGGAGAGGUUAGUGGAAUUCCCAGUGUAGCGGUGAAAUGCGUAGAGAUUGGGAGGAACACCAGUGGCGAAGGCGACUAACUGGACUGUAACUGACGCUGAGGCGCGAAAGUGUGGGGAGCAAACAGGAUUAGAAACCCCUGUAGUCC